AAUAAAAUUGGAAUGCAUCUCUAUGCAACAAUGAAAGAAAAAUAGCAAUAUUAAAAAUACAUCAAAUACAACUCUAGAGGGAAGUGAAUUUUUAUUCAAGGACUUUUAAGAAUUCUGACAUUGAAAAGACAUCUUUGCUUGAGGAGGCAGCUGAAUGUGUUUCUAACUUACAGUCAAAGAUCAUUUGCAUAGAAUACCAAAAGAGCCAUUUUUUUUUUUUUAAUUCAGAGAAAGAACAUCUAUCAGAGUUUGGCAGGAUGCAUCCUGCCAGGAUUCUUCUCUUUUCUACAGAAACUGACCAUUUGAAAAAGUCUUUCUAUGAUUGGUGCCACAAUAAAGCUCUUGUACCGGAUUCUGCAACAAAAUGUAAAUUAAUGGAAUGUGAAAAAUGGAAGGACUGCAAGGGAAAGGAUCAAAGGCCACAGAAGAAAUGGGGCAUGCCCCCGUUCUGUUUCUCCAAUAACCUCAUCCCAGAACCUGGAGGUCCUUCUCUUCCCAUCGCUGCCCUGUCACUAGCAGGAUUCCUCCCUCUUCUUUCCACAAGUGAACACCUCUCCUGUUCUAGGAGCUGGGGAUUCAGUAGUGAAUGAGACAGGCAAGGUCCCUGCUGUCAUGGAGUCUGCAUCCUAGUGUAGGUAAUAAGACAAUGAACAAAGUAAUUUUCAAAGCAAACAAAAUAGGGGGUGCUCUGGAGAGUACAUGGAGAUCUGUUGUAGAGGGUUGGUUGAGGAGGGUUUCUCUAAGAAUCAAUGCUCAGGCUGAAACUGGAAUGACCAGAUGGAGACAGCCCGGAGAAGAACUGUCAGUGCAUUCCAGGGAGGGAAGACCAAAUGCAAUGUCUUAAGAGGAGAAAAGCCUGGCAGGUUCCUGGAAUAGAAAGAAGGCGUGUGGGCCCAAUGUAUAUGAUGGAGAGAGGUAGGAAAUGAACUCAGAGAGGCUGUCAGCACACAGACCAUAUUCAACAUUGGAGUCCCCUAAGGAGUUUGGAUGUUGUCCUCAGUAUAGUCAUGGGGUGCAUAGCAAUGUUUUGGUCAAUGACAGACUUCAUGCACAACACUGGUCCCAAUAAGAUCAUAAUGGAGCUGAAAAUUCCUGUCACCUAGUGAUGUCUUUAUGAUCCUGACCCUGUGUUUCCCUAGGCUAAUGUGUGUGUUUGUGUCUUAGUUUUUAACAAAAAUGCUUAAAAAGUAAAAAAUGAAACAUUUUUAAAAAUAGAAAAAACUUAUAGAAUAAGGAUAUAAAGACAACAUUUUGUACAGCUGUACAAUCUGUGUUUUAAGCUAAGUGUA
This 1289-nucleotide long non-coding RNA is filed under the name Pan troglodytes (chimpanzee). RNAcentral's name for it is "lncRNA (ENSPTRG00000053216.1)". Lineage: Eukaryota; Metazoa; Chordata; Mammalia; Primates; Hominidae. The record is from RNAcentral.